Molecule: ribosomal RNA, 246 nt
Filed under: uncultured bacterium
Lineage: Bacteria
Description: partial 16S ribosomal RNA
Rfam family: Bacterial small subunit ribosomal RNA
Source: RNAcentral
GAUCAUGGCUCAGAUUGAACGCUGGCGGCAGGCCUAACACAUGCAAGUCGAACGGUAACAGGAAACAGCUUGCUGUUUCGCUGACGAGUGGCGGACGGGUGAGUAAUGUCUGGGAAACUGCCCGAUGGAGGGGGAUAACUACUGGAAACGGUAGCUAAUACCGCAUAACGUCGCAAGACCAAAGAGGGGGACCUUAGGGCCUCUUGCCAUCGGAUGUGCCCAGAUGGGAUUAGCUAGUAGGUGGGG